GCCGGACCUGACUGCUAUCGGAUUGAUACUAAGCCAUGCGAGUCUUUGUAGUAAUACAAGGCAGACGGCUCAGUAACACGUAGUCAACCUACCCUAUGGACAAGAAUAAUCUCGGGAAACUGGGCAUAAUUCUUGAUAGAUCAUAAUGCCUGGAAUGGUUUAUGGUUAAAAUGAUUCGUCGCCAUAGGAUGGGACUGCGGCCUAUCAGCUUGUUGGUGAGGUAAUGGCCCACCAAGGCGAUUACAGGUACGGGCUCUGAGAGGAGAAGCCCGGAGAUGGGUACUGAGACACGGACCCAGGCCCUAUGGGGCGCAGCAGGCGAGAAAACUUUGCAAUGUGCGAAAGCACGACAAGGUUAAUCCGAGUGAUUUCUGCUAAAGAAAUCUUUUGCCAGUCAUAAAACCACUGGUGAAUAAGGGGUGGGCAAGUUCUGGUGUCAGCCGCCGCGGUAAAACCAGCACCUCAAGUGGUCAGGAUGAUUAUUGGGCCUAAAGCAUCCGUAGCCGGCUUUGUUAGUUUUCGGUUAAAUCCAUGUGCUCAACGCAUGGGCUGCCGAAAAUACUGCAUGGCUAGGGAGUGGGAGAGGUAGACGGUACUCAGUAGGAAGGGGUAAAAUCCUUUGAUCUAUUGAUGACCACCUGUGGCGAAGGCGGUCUACCAGAACACGUUCGACGGUGAGGGAUGAAAGCUGGGGGAGCAAACCGGAUUAGAUACCCGGGUAGUCCCAGCUGUAAACGAUGCAGACUCGAUGAUGCAUUGGCAUAAUAGCCAGUGCAGUGUCGCAGGGAAGCCGUUAAGUCUGCCGCCUGGGAAGUACGUACGCAAGUAUGAAACUUAAAGGAAUUGGCGGGGGAGCACCACAAGGGGUGAAGCCUGCGGUUCAAUUGGAUUCAACGCCGGG
This 901-nucleotide ribosomal RNA is filed under the name uncultured archaeon. Its description in RNAcentral is "bacterial SSU rRNA". It matches the Rfam family "Archaeal small subunit ribosomal RNA", at positions 16 to 922 of the family's 1478-position model. The record is from RNAcentral.